Molecule: ribosomal RNA, 571 nt
Filed under: uncultured bacterium
Lineage: Bacteria
Description: bacterial SSU rRNA
Rfam family: Bacterial small subunit ribosomal RNA
Source: RNAcentral
GGGAUGGCUCCGCGGCCCAUCAGGUAGACGGCGGGGUGACGGCCCACCGUGCCGACAACGGGUAGCCGGGUUGAGAGACCGACCGGCCAGAUUGGGACUGAGACACGGCCCAGACUCCUACGGGAGGCAGCAGUGGGGAAUCUUGCGCAAUGGGGGGAACCCUGACGCAGCGACGCCGCGUGCGGGACGGAGGCCUUCGGGUCGUAAACCGCUUUCAGCAGGGAAGAGUCAAGACUGUACCUGCAGAAGAAGCCCCGGCUAACUACGUGCCAGCAGCCGCGGUAAUACGUAGGGGGCGAGCGUUAUCCGGAUUCAUUGGGCGUAAAGCGCGCGUAGGCGGCCCGGCAGGCCGGGGGUCGAAGCGGGGGGCUCAACCCCCCGAAGCCCCCGGAACCUCCGCGGCUUGGGUCCGGUAGGGGAGGGUGGAACACCCGGUGUAGCGGUGGAAUGCGCAGAUAUCGGGUGGAACACCGGUGGCGAAGGCGGCCCUCUGGGCCGAGACCGACGCUGAGGCGCGAAAGCUGGGGGAGCGAACAGGAUUAGAUACCCUGGUAGUCCCAGCCGUAAACGA